This 358-nucleotide RNase P RNA is filed under the name Clostridium senegalense. Its description in RNAcentral is "Bacterial RNase P class A". It matches the Rfam family "Bacterial RNase P class A". Rfam says of the family: Ribonuclease P (RNase P) is a ubiquitous endoribonuclease, found in archaea, bacteria and eukarya as well as chloroplasts and mitochondria. Lineage: Bacteria; Bacillati; Bacillota; Clostridia; Eubacteriales; Clostridiaceae. The record is from RNAcentral.
AGUAAGUCAGACAAUCGCUGCUGAUUUUUUCAGGAGAGGAAAGUCCGAGCUCCGUAGGGCAGGGUGCUGGGUAACUCCCAGUGGAGGUGACUCUAAGGAAAGUGCAACAGAGAUAUACCGCCAGAACAAGUUUACUUGUGAGUUUAGAUUUUAUCUAACUGGUAAGGGUGGAAAGGUGAGGUAAGGGCUCACCAGCGUACUGGCGACUGUACGGCUAUGUAAACCCCAUCUGGAGCAAGAUCGAAUAGGGGGAUAUAUGGGGCUGCCCGUCCCGUCCCCGGGUGUAUCGCUUGAGUUUAUUGGUAACAAUAGGCCUAGAUAGAUGAUUGUCAAAUACAGAACUCGGCUUAUAGAUUUA